GACGAACGCUGGCGGCGUGCCUAAUACAUGCAAGUUGAGCGCUGAAGGGUGGUACUUGUACCAACUGGAUGAGCAGCGGACGGGUGAGUAACGCGUGGGUAAUCUGCCUUUGAGCGGGGGACAACAUCUGGAAACGAAUGCUAAUACCGCAUAAAAACUUUAAACACAAGGUUUAAGUUUGAAAGAUGCAAUUGCAUCACUCAAUGAUGAUCUCGCGUUGUAUUAGCUAGGUGGUGAGGUAAAGGCCCACCAAGGCGAUGAUACAUAGCCGACCUGAGAGGGGUGUCCGCCACAAUUGGACCUGAACACGGGCCAAGCUCCCUCGGGAGGGAGCAGGAAGGGAACUUCGGGCAAUGAGCGAAAGCUGACCGAGGAACGGCGCGGGGGGGAAGGAGGGUUUUGGAUCGGAAAACUCUGUUGAUAGGGAAGAAAGAUGGGUGGAAUUGAAAGCUCAUCAAGUGACGGUAACUACCCAGAAAGGGACGGCUAACUACGUG
This 497-nucleotide ribosomal RNA is filed under the name uncultured bacterium. RNAcentral's name for it is "partial 16S ribosomal RNA". It matches the Rfam family "Bacterial small subunit ribosomal RNA", at positions 28 to 507 of the family's 1533-position model. The record is from RNAcentral.